AGUCGAAACACCCGCAAGGGUGUCCACCGCGGGAUCGCCUCCCGGUGCUGACGAUGACAGGCGAGA
Molecule: non-coding RNA, 66 nt
Filed under: Clostridia bacterium
Lineage: Bacteria; Bacillati; Bacillota; Clostridia
Source: RNAcentral